RNAcentral lists this ribosomal RNA (253 nucleotides) under uncultured bacterium. Its description in RNAcentral is "partial 16S ribosomal RNA". It matches the Rfam family "Bacterial small subunit ribosomal RNA", at positions 524 to 776 of the family's 1533-position model. The record is from RNAcentral.
UACAGAGGUGGCAAGCGUUGUUCGGAAUUACUGGGCGUAAAGGGCGAGUAGACGGCCUUCUAAGUCAGACGUGAAAUCCCCCGGCUUAACCUGGGAACUGCGUCUGAUACUGGGAGGCUCGAGUAUGGGAGAGGGAUGUAGAAUUCCAGGUGUAGCGGUGAAAUGCGUAGAUAUCUGGAGGAAUACCGGUGGCGAAGGCGGCAUCCUGGACCGACAUUGACGCUGAUGAGCGAAAGCUAGGGGAGCAAACGGG